Molecule: ribosomal RNA, 253 nt
Filed under: uncultured bacterium
Lineage: Bacteria
Description: partial 16S ribosomal RNA
Rfam family: Bacterial small subunit ribosomal RNA
Source: RNAcentral
UACGGGGGGGGCAAGCGUUGUUCGGAAUUACUGGGCGUAAAGGGCUCGUAGGCGGCCAACUAAGUCAGACGUGAAAUCCCUCGGCUUAACCGGGGAACUGCGUCUGAUACUGGAUGGCUUGAGUUCGGGAGAGGGAUGUGGAAUUCCAGGUGUAGCGGUGAAAUGCGUAGAUAUCUGGAGGAACACCGGUGGCGAAGGCGGCAUCCUGGACCGGCAUUGACGCUGAGGCGCGAAAGCUAGGGGAGCAAACAGG